Molecule: ribosomal RNA, 423 nt
Filed under: uncultured prokaryote
Also listed under: 1 other name
Description: bacterial SSU rRNA
Rfam family: Bacterial small subunit ribosomal RNA
Source: RNAcentral
UGAGGAAUAUUGGUCAAUGGUCGGGAGACUGAACCAGCCAUGCCGCGUGAAGGUCACGGCCCUAUGGGUCUUAAACUUCUUUUGCAAGGGAGCAAUAAGUCUCACGUGUGGGAUGAUGAGAGUACCUUGCGAAUAAGCAUCGGCUAACUCCGUGCCAGCAGCCGCGGUAAUACGGGGGAUGCGAGCGUUAUCCGGAUUUAUUGGGUUUAAAGGGUGCGUAGGCGGUAUAUUAAGUCAGCGGUGAAAUUUAGGGGCUCAACCUCUACCGUGCCGUUGAUACUGGUAUGCUGGAAUGCGGAUGCCGUGGGAGGAAUGUGUGGUGUAGCGGUGAAAUGCAUAGAUAUCACACAGAACACCGAUUGCGAAGGCAUCUCACGAAUCCGCUAUUGACGCUGAUGCACGAAAGCGUGGGGAUCAAACAGG